CCCUCAGGUUGUCCGGGACCCCGAUUUUGUUCUCCAGGAGCCGAAACUGAAGGCUUUGGAAGCCAGAGGCUGGAGACAGAAAUACGUACCUCUACAGCCGGAGAGGAUGACCAUCCAAUGCUUGUUGGGAGCUGAAAGUGUCGUCCCCAUUUAGGUCAGAGGGCGAGCCGAUGUCAAGUCAUUGGAACCAAGGAAAGUGGAGAUGAUGCCGUUCUGGUCAACCUUU
This is a long non-coding RNA of Thunnus maccoyii (southern bluefin tuna), 226 nucleotides long. RefSeq lists it as uncharacterized. The record is from RefSeq and is a predicted model, not a curated record. NCBI's taxonomy places the organism in Eukaryota, Metazoa, Chordata, Actinopteri, Scombriformes, Scombridae. The transcript has 3 exons.